Long non-coding RNA from Ornithodoros turicata, 734 nucleotides. RefSeq lists it as uncharacterized. Lineage: Eukaryota; Metazoa; Arthropoda; Arachnida; Ixodida; Argasidae. The record is from RefSeq and is a predicted model, not a curated record. The transcript is spliced from 3 exons.
UUCGGAACCCGGCAGCACACGUGCCUGGCCACUGGACGAUAUUUCAGUGAAAUGCGUGAAGCUUCCUUUCCAAGGAAAGUGGGCUGUCUUCCCACUGCUUCGUGCAUAUUAACUUCUAUAUCAUGCUGUAGCUAAUUACGAAGUUCAUUGUUGCACUGUCACGGUCCACCUUACUGUGAUUACCAUUAUGACUAUCAUACUUUGUUUGUAUUGACCCGUCACGCUGCCCGCAUCUUGUUAUUUCUUUUUUUGCCAAGGACGCCUUUUAGGUAUUGCUCUUCUGACAGUGCAGAACAUUGUUUCCUCAUACAUGUAUAUUACCUGCAGGCAAAGAAGAAUUUCUGAUAGCAAAAUUUCCGGGCGAGGACAACGAUGUUGCGGUUGUACAUGACACCUGGGUCGACGGCAACUUUUGCUGGUGGCCCCCUGAGAAGAACUCCAGCAAGCUGAGGGCGAUGAUAAUUAUAGGGCAAACCCCAGCACUGAAUUGGCGAAGAGUUGAGUGUGCAGUAAUUGAGGGAUUUUGCUCUUACGAGGAUGCACGGAAGAAGCUGCCUGCAGCUGAGCACACAUCUGACUUGCAAUCUGAUGAUGAAGUCAGACGCACGCGCAAAAGGCCUCGUAGGUUCAUCAGCAGUGACGACUCUAGUAGUGACAGUGGGGAAGCACUAUUACCACCUCCCCCAGUCAUAGGAGAGACUAUCAAGCGUGUGCAUGAGAAAGGCCAUGGUCAA